CAGAUGGGUAUCGGUAUCAAUGAGAAUGAUAUAAAUAAUUUUCAACAUAUGGCUAUAAAAAAAGGUGAGAUCUGAUAAGUCUAGACCGCAGUCGGUGGCUGUGGAAUUCAGGCGAUGGAAUCGAGAUAUGGAGUUUGCGAACAAACAAAAAUUGAAGUGCAAUUUAUAUAUUAUAUAUAUCGCGGUAUGGAAACUGAAGGUACCGAAAGAAAUAACCCAACCGCAGGGCUUGAUAUGGAGAGCCAUCCCAGACCCUCAGAACUUUAAAAACUCAGACCAUAAAGGACCUAGCAUACCUAGUGAGACAACUAAGUUAUUUGUUGGUCCGAGCUGAGCGACAUGGUUUAUCGACAUGGAAACUAAAGGAACCAUAGAAAAUAACUCAGCAGGAGUUGAAAUGAAGAAUGAAGCAGAACCUUCCACAGUUAAGGUGGAACGGCCUGGAGGAAGCCAGCCACCUUCCACAAGCCAAUCGACCCCUUCACCAGGACCUAGCACUAGUGUGCUAAUAAUCAAUGGGAUAGACUGUGAAACCUCCGAGGAAUCGCUGCUGAAACAUUUCCAGCAAUUUGGAAGAGUCACAGAUCUCACCAUUUUAAAAGAUCCAGCAACGCAGCGACAUGGACCCCAUAGAAAAAAACACGCCUGGAGGAAGCCAGCCACCUUCCACAGGUGAGGUGGCAGGCCUGCCAGGGAAAUCGAUGUGGAGCUGACACCUAAUCAUCCAAAUUUAACGGAAAAACAAAAGAAAAAAGUCUUUGUCGGCGGAGUAGGUCAAAAUACAACAGAAGCAGACUUAAAGAACUAUUUCACUAGAUUUGGAAACAUUCAAGAGUGUUCAUUGAUGAUGGACACCAAAACAAACAGGCAUAGAGGUUUCGGAUUUAUCAUCUUCGAUAGAGAAGAAUUUGCAAAUAUCGUCAUUGAAAUUCAUUACCACAUGAUAAAUAGGAAACAGGUUGAAUGCUUAAGGGCAAAGCCUAAAGAUGACAGAAACACAAAAAAUGAGCAUUAUAAGAGACGAGAUCCAGGAUUGAAAAUGCGAGCCGGAACUAGUGCUUGGCUAUAUCCAUAUCCCUUUGAUGCAGCUCAAGCGCGAUCGCCUGCUAUGGCUGGUUAUGGGCAAAUGUGGCCUGUUCCACCAUUACCACCGAGCUAUGGUUUUCCCCUGUAUGCAAUUCCAACAAUGGCAGCUAGUGCUCGUUUACCUCCUCCACUUAUAUUAGCCAGCUAUAGACAAGCUCCUUACCGAAUACCUAUAAUGCAAUCUAGUGUUCGUGCUCUUCCAAUUCCUGCACACUCUACCUGCACUCAAACUGAACGUCCACUACCAUUUUCGGGCUAUAGGUAUCCUCACCAUAUACCUACAAUGACAUCUCGUAUACAACUACCUUAUCCACCCCCUGUAUAUUCAACAUAUAAUGAUGCUCCACCUCUACUAUUGAGGUAUCCUCACCAAAUACCUACAAUGGUAUCUAGUGCACAACCACCUAUACCUUCCCCUGCACCCUCUGCAUCAAGCACUCAAGCUGCACCUGCACCACCUCUUCCACAAGGUCCUUACCCUGGAGGCAACAACCUUGGAGAACAACAAAACAUUGAGUAGCCUCUAUUUAACCAAGCGACAUGGACCCCAUAGAAAAUAACACGCCUGGAGGAAGCCAGCCACCUUCCACAGGUGAGGUGGAAAGGCCUGCCAGGGAAAUCGAUGUGGAGCUGACACCUAAUCAUCCAAAUUCAACGGAAAAACCAGAGGAAAAAGUCUUUGUCGGCGGAGUAGGUCAAAAUACAACAGAAGCAGACUCAAAGAACUCUUUCACUAGAUUUGGAAACAUUCAAGAGUGUUCAUUGAUGAUGGACACCAAAACAAACAGGCAUAGAGGUUUCGGAUUUAUCAUCUUCGAUAGAGAAGAAUUUGCGAAUAUCGUCAUUGAAAUUCAUUACCACAUGAUAAAUAGGAAACAGGUUGAAUGCUUAAGGGCAAAGCCUAAAGAUGACAGAAACACAAAAAAUGAGCAUUAAGCACUCAAGCUGCACCUGCACCACCUCUUCCACAAGGUCUUUACCCUGGGGGCAACAACCCUGGAGGCAACAACCUUGGAGAACAACAAAACAUUGAGUGACCCUUUAUAUCAUAUAUUUUAUGAAAUUUAUUCAAUAUGAACUGCCAAAACAUUGCUCAAAUUGAAAUGUUUUUUAUUAAAGCGACAUGGACCCCAUAGAAAAUAACACGCCUGGAGGAAGCCAGCCACCUUCCACAGGUGAGGAGGAAAGGCCUGCCAGGGAAAUCGAUGUGGAGCUGACACCUUAUCAUCCAAAUUUAACGGAAAAACAAGAGAAAAUAGUCUUUGUCGGCGGAGUAGGUCAAAAUACAACAGAAGCAGACUCAAAGAACUAUUUCACUAGAUUUGGAAACAUUCAAGAGUGUUCAUUGAUGAUGGACACCAAAACAAACAGGCAUAGAGGUUUCGGAUUUAUCAUCUUCGAUAGAGAAGAAUUUGCGAAUAUCGUCAUUGAAAUUCAUUACCACAUGAUAAAUAGGAAAUAGGUUGAAUGCUUAAGGGCAAAGCCUAAAGAUGACAGAAACACAAAAAAUGAGCAUUAAGCACUCAAGCUGCACCUGCACCUCCUCUUCCACAAGGUCUUUACCCUGGGGGCAACAACCCUGGAGGCAACAACCUUGGAGAACAACAAAACAUUGAGUGGCCUCUAUUUAACCAAGCGACAUGGACCCCAUAGAAAAUAACACGCCUGGAGGAAGCCAGCCACCUUCCACAGGUGAGGAGGAAAGGCCUGCCAGGGAAAUCGAUGUGGAGCUGACACCUAAUCAUCCAAAUUUAACGGAAAAACAAGAGAAAAAAGUCUUUGUCGGCGGAGUAGGUCAAAAUACAACAGAAGCAGACUCAAAGAACUAUUUCACUAGAUUUGGAAACAUUCAAGAGUGUUCAUUGAUGAUGGACACCAAAACAAACAGGCAUAGAGGUUUCGGAUUUAUCAUCUUCGAUAGAGAAGAAUUUGCGAAUAUCGUCAUUGAAAUUCAUUACCACAUGAUAAAUAGGAAACAGGUUGAAUGCUUAAGGGCAAAGCCUAAAGAUGACAGAAACACAAAAAAUGAGCAUUAAGCACUCAAGCUGCACCUGCACCACCUCUUCCACAAGGUCCUUACCCUGGAGGCAACAACCCUGGAGGGAACAACCUUGGAGAACAACAAAACAUUGAGUGGCCUCUAUUUAACCAAGCGACAUGGACCCCAUAAAAAAUAACACGCCUUGAGGAAGCCAGCCACCUUCCACAGGUGAGGUGGAAAGGCCUGCCAGGGAAAUCGAUGUGGAGCUUACACCUAAUCAUCCAAAUUUAACGGAAAAACAAAAGAAAAAAGUCUUUGUCGGCGGAGUAGGUCAAAAUACAACAGAAGCAGACUCAAAGAACUAUUUCACUAGAUUUGGAAACAUUCAAGAGUGUUCAUUGAUGAUGGACACCAAAACAAACAGGCAUAGAGGUUUCGGAUUUAUCAUCUUCGAUAGGGAAGAAUUUGCAAAUAUCGUCAUUGAAAUUCAUUACCACAUGAUAAAUAGGAAAGAGGUUGAAUGCUUAAGGGCAAAGCCUAAAGAUGAAAGAAACACAAAAAAUGAGCAUUAAGCGCUCAAGCUGCACCUGCACCACCUCUUCCACAAGGUCCUUACCCUGGAGGCAACAACCCUGGAGAACAACAAAACAUUGAGUGGCCUCUAUUUGACCAAGGUACGGAUUGGUUUGACCCGUAUCUUGAGUCGACAAGAAGAAGAAGUUAAGUAUACCUUCCCCUGCACCCUCUGCAUCAAGCACUCAAGCUGCACCUGCACCACCUUUUCCACAAGGUCCUUACCCUGGAGGCAACAACCCUGGAGGGAACAACCUUGGAGAACAACAAAACAUUGAGUGGCCUCUAUUUAACCAAGCGACAUGGACCCCAUAGAAAAUAACACGCCUGGAGGAAGCCAGCCACCUUCCACAGGUGAGGUGGAAAGGCCUGCCAGGGAAAUCGAUGUGGAGCUGACACCUAAUCAUCGAAAUUUAACGGAAAAACAAAAGAAAAAAGUCUUUGUCGGCGGAGUAGGUCAAAAUACAACAGAAGCAGACUUAAAGAACUAUUUCACUCGAUUUGGAAACAUUCAAGAGUGUUCAUUGAUGA
Molecule: RNA transcript, 4171 nt
Organism: Harmonia axyridis
Lineage: Eukaryota; Metazoa; Arthropoda; Insecta; Coleoptera; Coccinellidae
Gene name: RNA-binding protein Musashi homolog Rbp6-like
Exons: 9
Source: RefSeq, a predicted model, not a curated record